RNAcentral lists this ribosomal RNA (468 nucleotides) under uncultured bacterium. RNAcentral's name for it is "partial 16S ribosomal RNA". It matches the Rfam family "Bacterial small subunit ribosomal RNA", at positions 28 to 507 of the family's 1533-position model. The record is from RNAcentral.
GACGAACGCUGGCGGCGCGCCUAACACAUGCAAGUCGAACGGAGUCAAGAGGAGCUUGCUUUUCUUGACUUAGUGGCGAACGGGUGAGUAACGCGUGAGUAACCUGCCCUGGAGUGGGGGACAACAGUUGGAAACGACUGCUAAUACCGCAUAAGCCCACUGAUCCGCAUGGAUCUGCGGGAAAAGGAUUUAUUCGCUUCAGGAUGGACUCGCGUCCAAUUAGCUAGUUGGUGAGGUAACGGCCCACCAAGGCGACGAUUGGUAGCCGGACUGAGAGGUUGACCGGCAAGCUUGGGACUGAGACACGGACCAGACUCCUACGGGAGGAAGCAGUGGGGGCUAUUGCACAAUGGGGGAAACACUGAUGCAGCGACGCCGCGUGGAGGAAGAAGGUUUUCGGAUUGUAAGCUCCUGUCGUUAGGGCAGAUAAUGACGGUACCUAACAAGAAAGCACCGGCUAACUACGUG